UGCAGAACAAAGAAGGGAAAGAAAGAAAUGAAUAACGGAAGAGGAGAGAGGAAAGGAGUGGCAGAUGGGGGAAGAACGGUCCGCUGCAAUAAUACAAAUCAAUCUUACCAAAGAGAAGCGACGGCGGCGCUGAGUAAGAACCCAGGUGAAAGCAAAAGAAAGGAGCUAUCUUGCGCAUUCUUUGGACUUCAUCAUCACAUUUACUCCUCCCUGCAUCUUUUUCAGCCAGUUUUUUACACUAGAGGGCACUCAUUGCCUUGUAGCAGAUUUUCAAUCACAGACUUUUUUAACAGCAAAGAAAGUUCAUUCAAUACUGAUGUUGACUGAAAAUCAUAUGUUAAAGCACAACAAGCACAGCAUGUUUGGCCAUUGUAAUAGUGAUGUGAGGGUAUGGCUGUGUGACUGUGUAGUCACAUACUCUAUAGAGUGAAGCUUUAAGUCAAUUGUAAACCUAGAGGGAAGAAAACAAGUGAGUAAGGUUUAUGUUUGUAUGUACUAUACAGAAAUGUUGGAACAGAUUGACUGAUGGUCUCAAAGUAAUCAGAGAGAUGCCAGGGCUGGAAGUAUUUGAUUUAGUGUGCUGUCUGAAUAUGCGGUAAGGUGGGUGAAUGAAAGCUAGGUAAAUCCUUAAAUCUACAUCAGUAUUUAUAGGAAAACAAAACAGCGUUCUAUGGUGAAUUACGCAACUGACUCAUAUAAGCUUCUGUUAGAUAGUCUGAUAAUAGUCAUAGGAUUUUGUCCCUUUUAUCUUCCAAUGAUUGCAGAUUUGCCUUCAUUGACUUUACAAAUUGCCAGCAUUUUUGCUUAGAAGUUUGUCCAGAGUUUGGUACAUACAUUCACAAAAUACUGUAAGUCAUAAUCACCAGUAUUUAAUACAUUUAGCAUGGAUUACAUUCAACCUUUCAUUUGUAUAGUGCAUAAUGUCUUUUUUUAAAAAACAGACACCAUAACUUCUACAAUUUAACCUAAAAUAAAUUAUCCAAGAAAAAAGAUGUCACAGGCAUGUCUGGGAGGAAAAUCUGAUUAUCAGUCCAGAACAUAACUAUGUCAUAGGUUUUGGUUUUUCAGUUAAUUUUUUACAGACAAGAAAUUCAUUUUGUUUCAUUUCCAUUGUUGUAUAGGUCAAUUAUUCAGAUAUAUUUUUUUGCAUUUUGCAAAGCAAUGAAAAAUGAGAAAACAAAAAUGCAAAGUGUCUCUAGCAAAUAGACAAUGAGCUUUCUUUUGUUACUUAGCUUAUAGUAAUAAGUAAUAGUUUUGUAAGCACCUUGUAUCUGGAAGAUGCUUAGAAUAUAACUUGAGCACACAGCAAAUAUGAAGGUUUCUGUAGAAUUCAAAUGCUUAUCCUUUUGUGUAUUUUUCCAUCAACAAGGAAGUAAAUGUUUAGAAAUGUUUUAUUAGA
Thamnophis elegans (Western terrestrial garter snake) is the source of this 1399-nucleotide long non-coding RNA. RefSeq lists it as uncharacterized. NCBI's taxonomy places the organism in Eukaryota, Metazoa, Chordata, Lepidosauria, Squamata, Natricidae. The record is from RefSeq and is a predicted model, not a curated record. The transcript is spliced from 2 exons.